Molecule: ribosomal RNA, 681 nt
Filed under: uncultured Actinomycetes bacterium
Lineage: Bacteria; Bacillati; Actinomycetota; Actinomycetes
Description: bacterial SSU rRNA
Rfam family: Bacterial small subunit ribosomal RNA
Source: RNAcentral
GGGGACAGCGGCGAACGGGUGAGUAACACGUGGGUAAUCUACCCUCGGUUCUGGGAUAGCCCGGGGAAACUCGGAUUAAUACCGGAUAGCCUCUCCGGCUCUUGGGCUGGUGAGAAAAGGUAGCUUCGGCCUCCGACUGAGGAUGAGCCCGCGGCGGAUUAGCUUGUUGGCGGGGUAACGGCCCACCAAGGCGACGAUCCGUAGCUGGUCUGAGAGGACGAUCAGCCACACUGGGACUGAGACACGGCCCAGACUCCUACGGGAGGCAGCAGUGGGGAAUCUUGCGCAAUGGGCGAAAGCCUGACGCAGCGACGCCGCGUGAGGGAAGAAGGCCUUCGGGUUGUAAACCUCUUUCAGGGGGGACGAAGCCACUCGGGUUAAUAGCCCAGAGGGUGACGGUACCUUCAGAAGAAGCCCCGGCUAACUACGUGCCAGCAGCCGCGGUAAUACGUAGGGGGCAAGCGUUGUCCGGAUUUAUUGGGCGUAAAGAGCGUGUAGGCGGCCAGAUAGGUCGGUUGUGAAAACUGGAGGCUUAACCUCCAGACGUCGACCGAAACCAUCUGGCUAGAGUCCGGAAGAGGAGAGUGGAAUUCCUGGUGUAGCGGUGAAAUGCGCAGAUAUCAGGAAGAACACCCGUGGCGAAAGCGGCUCUCUGGGACGGUACUGACGCUGAGACGCGAA